Ochotona princeps (American pika) is the source of this 468-nucleotide long non-coding RNA. RefSeq lists it as uncharacterized. NCBI's taxonomy places the organism in Eukaryota, Metazoa, Chordata, Mammalia, Lagomorpha, Ochotonidae. The record is from RefSeq and is a predicted model, not a curated record. The transcript has 3 exons.
GUGUGCCAAGGAUAGAAGCAGAGCAGGGAGAGCCCCUGGAUAGAGUCAUUUCCUGGUGGGAGAGGGCUUGAGGGUAGGGUUUGCAAGGGCACAGUGGAUAUGAAUGAGAAUUCAAAGACCCAGUGGGAACAGAUGAGGGAAUACAGUGGAUGCAGAUGAGGGAAUUUGAGAGGCACUAAGAGAGAAAUGGUACAGGUGGGAAUAGAUGACGUCACACUACCCAAUCAUCAGAUUUUGAAUGCUGUGAUACCCAUGCUCUUCACAGGAUCCUGGAACAUGGUGAUUCCUCCUCCAGCAGGGAGGAGACCCAACAAGGAGCCUAGGGAACUCUUUUGUCAGCAUGCAUCCCCUGCAGAUGACAAGGCAGGGAGCAUCCCAAAAUGGACGAGGUAACAAUACUUGCAGGCAUAUGUGUGGGUCAGGUCUUGGAGUGAGCCAGGCUGUGCCAGUGCAUAACACACACUGGCA